This 459-nucleotide ribosomal RNA is filed under the name uncultured marine bacterium. Its description in RNAcentral is "bacterial SSU rRNA". It matches the Rfam family "Bacterial small subunit ribosomal RNA", at positions 398 to 849 of the family's 1533-position model. The record is from RNAcentral.
CGCGUGUAUGAAGAAGGCCUUCGGGUUGUAAAGUACUUUCAGUUGUGAGGAAGGGGGUAACGUUAAUAGCGUUUUCUCUUGACGUUAGCAACAGAAGAAGCACCGGCUAACUCCGUGCCAGCAGCCGCGGUAAUACGGAGGGUGCGAGCGUUAAUCGGAAUUACUGGGCGUAAAGCGCAUGCAGGUGGUUCAUUAAGUCUGAUGUGAAAGCCCGGGGCUCAACCUCGGAACUGCAUUUGAAACUGGUGAACUAGAGUGCUGUAGAGGGGGGUAGAAUUUCAGGUGUAGCGGUGAAAUGCGUAUAGAUCUGAAGGAAUACCACUGGCGAAGGCGGCCCCCUGUACACACACUGACACUCACAUGCGAAAGCGUGGGGAGCAAACACGAUUAUAUACCCUGAUAGACCACGCCGUAAACGAUGUCUACUUGGAGGUUGUGGCCUUGUGCCGUGGCUUUCGG